GGGGGAUUAGCUCAGUUGGUAGAGCAGCGCUUUUACACAGCGAAGGUUCGGCGGUUCAAGCCCGUCAUCCCCUACCA
Molecule: transfer RNA, 77 nt
Filed under: Cytophagaceae bacterium
Lineage: Bacteria; Pseudomonadati; Bacteroidota; Cytophagia; Cytophagales; Cytophagaceae
Description: tRNA-Val
Rfam family: tRNA
About the family: Transfer RNA (tRNA) molecules are approximately 80 nucleotides in length. Their secondary structure includes four short double-helical elements and three loops (D, anti-codon, and T loops).
Source: RNAcentral